RNAcentral lists this long non-coding RNA (406 nucleotides) under Salvia miltiorrhiza (redroot sage). RNAcentral's name for it is "long non-coding RNA (SMIL_LNC000726)". Lineage: Eukaryota; Viridiplantae; Streptophyta; Magnoliopsida; Lamiales; Lamiaceae. The record is from RNAcentral.
AGUAUUCCCUCGGAUGCUGAGGUUCACCUACACUAACAAUCGCAGGAGACCGGAAGCUGGCGAACAGGUAAAAAUACUUAAUAAUGUUCUGCUCCUGUUGGCACUUAUGGCACUAAAAGUGCCAUAAGUGCCAAAGGAAAUCCAAAAAAACAUGAAGUAAAAUGGUCCUUGUGCAGGUUCAUUUUUCACUGAAACCAACAGAAGAGGAAAAGCAACAUAAACACUGGGCAUCUAUUGAAGAAGAAGGAACGCCAUUCAUUUUGCAGUACAGUCCCACUGCGGAUGGCAGCAAGAAGAGAGCAAAGAAAAUGGCCGCGAGGUAUGAGGGGGUCAGAAUGAUUCAAGAACAAAGGAUAGAGAGCGAAGGAGAAGGAAGAAACCAGCAACAGCAAGAGCAUCAACAACA